GAGCCAGUUAUGAUGUAUAUCUGUGAAGGUCAUCUAGUCUAGUGUUUCCUUUAAGACCAAUGUUCCCUUGUUGACUUUUUGUCUUGAUAAUCUAUCCAUUGAUAUAAGUGCUGGAGAAAUGAAGGAGUAAAAUGAGACCUCUGAAAUACACAGAAAUAGCACCUGGAUAAUGAGCUGAUUUUUCAACAUCAACAAUGGAAGCCAAAAGACAAUGGAAUGAUAUCUUCAAAAUAAUAAAAGCAAGUAAUUUCUGACUUAGAAUUCUAUCACAGCUGAAAAUUUCUUUCAAAAAAUGAAGACAUUUUCAGAAAAACAAAAACUGAUAGAAUUAAUGAGCAGCAGACACACAUGGAGGCAAACAACAAAGAACAUUCUUCGGGUAGAAGAAAAAUGAUCUUGAAUGGCAGCUAGAAUAUGCAGGAAGGGAUGAAGAGCAACGGAAAGGGUCAUGAGAUUUUGCUGUUGGAGCUGCAGCAGCCAUAUUGUGAUUGACUCUGAGAGAAAGGCCAACAGACAUCAGCCAUAAAGUCCUUGAGCCACUACACUAGCUCAGGAUGUCCUACCUGUCAUAUGAAAGAAAAGUAAAUUCCCAUCCUGGGCACACCUCUCUUUUUUCAUUCUCUUAUAGCUAUAAUGAUCUUGGAUAAGAUGACCACAAGAAAAAAUUAGAGUGGGAAGAGCAGAUGCUGUCAGAAACUUUGAACUUUGGAGAACACUACUGUUUAAGGAGUGAAAGAAGAGCAGCCCAUGAAGACCAACAAAAUAACAGACAUCACUUGCAGAUGCAGGAAGAAGCCAUGAAGAGAGUAAAAUCACUGAGGACAAAGGAGUAAUCAAUAUUUUGAAAUUCAGCAGAGCAGACCAAUAAGAGUCAAUAUGUGUCCAUUGGAUUUGGUAUUUAGGAAUCGAUGUAGUUUAGUACAUCAAUAGAGAAGGCAAUUGAAAAAUUCUUAUUGACUUUGCUUAAUACUAAAUUGCUUAUGAUGAUUCAUUCAUUAAACAAAUAAUUAUUGAGCACCAAGCAAGUACAAGGCACUAUAUGUACAAUGAUAAUCAAAACAGACCGAGAGCUUAGAGUCUCAUAAUUUAUAAAGACGCUUCCC
Molecule: long non-coding RNA, 1103 nt
Filed under: Equus caballus (horse)
Lineage: Eukaryota; Metazoa; Chordata; Mammalia; Perissodactyla; Equidae
Description: lncRNA (ENSECAG00000043261.2)
Source: RNAcentral